ACUAUAUAGGUCCAAUUUUCUGUCCCGAGAUAAUCGGUCCAAAAAAUUAAUAAAUUGAGUGGGGUUGCGAUCCACAAUAAACCUAAUGGUAAGAGAUUCAAUAAUAAACCUUACGUCCAGAUAGGUCGAGUCAGGUCGAAAUUCCUUGAGUGCUAAAAUUAAGCCUUUAAGUGCGACGGAUACGUCCUUUCUAUCAGUACGUGUUUUUGAGAUAGUUUAUUAGUGCUUACAAUUCAUAAGGAUAGCCAGAUAAUAGUUUUGAU
This 263-nucleotide long non-coding RNA is filed under the name Ananas comosus (pineapple). RNAcentral's name for it is "long non-coding RNA (ACOM_LNC017453)". The record is from RNAcentral. Lineage: Eukaryota; Viridiplantae; Streptophyta; Magnoliopsida; Poales; Bromeliaceae.